This 413-nucleotide ribosomal RNA is filed under the name uncultured beta proteobacterium. Its description in RNAcentral is "bacterial SSU rRNA". It matches the Rfam family "Bacterial small subunit ribosomal RNA", at positions 9 to 426 of the family's 1533-position model. Lineage: Bacteria; Pseudomonadati; Pseudomonadota; Betaproteobacteria. The record is from RNAcentral.
GAGUUUGAUCGUGGCUCAGGUUGAACGCUGGCGGAAUGCUUUACACAUGCAAGUCGAGCGGCAGCGCGGGGCAACCUGGCGGCGAGCGGCGAACGGGUGAGUAAUGCAUCGGAACAUGUCCAUGUCGUGGGGGAUAGCCCGGCGAAAGCCGGAUUAAUACCGCAUACGCCCGAGAGGGGAAAGCCGGGGACCGCAAGGCCUGGCGCGAUUGGGUUGGCCGAUGUCCGAUUAGCUAGUUGGCGGGGUAAGAGCCCACCAAGGCGAUGAUCGGUAGCUGGUCUGAGAGGAUGAUCAGCCACACUGGGACUGAGACACGGCCCAGACUCCUACGGGAGGCAGCAGUGGGGAAUUUUGGACAAUGGGGGCAACCCUGAUCCAGCCAUGCCGCGUGUGUGAAGAAGGCCUUCGGUUGU